UACGGAGGGUGCAAGCGUUAUCCGGAUUCACUGGGUUUAAAGGGUGCGUAGGCGGGUUGGUAAGUCCGUGGUGAAAUCUCCGAGCUUAACUCGGAAACUGCCGUGGAUACUAUCAAUCUUGAAUAUCGUGGAGGUAAGCGGAAUAUGUCAUGUAGCGGUGAAAUGCUUAGAUAUGACAUAGGACACCAAUUGCGUAGGCAGCUUACUACACGAUCAUUGACGCUGAGGCACGAAAGCGUGGGGAGCAAACAGG
Molecule: ribosomal RNA, 253 nt
Filed under: uncultured bacterium
Lineage: Bacteria
Description: partial 16S ribosomal RNA
Rfam family: Bacterial small subunit ribosomal RNA
Source: RNAcentral